CUCUUGUGAGGCAAGGAGGGAGCCAAGACCAGGCUGAGCAGGCUGUGGGGUGCAGAUCAUCACUGACCACCUGUAAAUGCCAUGGGCAACAGCUCUGCUCCCACAGGGGCAGCCAGUCUUCAAGGUCUGUCACGGCCCCUAGUGGCUCAGAGGCACCCAGACAGCGCCGUGGGCCCGGCAGCAGCAGCCCGGAGAAGGGUGAAGUGCUGCAGGGCAAACUGUGGGCAUGGGUGAAGUGAUGGGGCCUGGGAAGCCUGGGCGUGUUCAACAGCUCUGUGAGCCAAAACAAGUUCCAGCAAAUCCCAUCAUAUAUUUCUUGCAAGAUUGGUCAUGCUUAUAAUUUUCAAUAAAAAUAUUUUUGUUGACUGAAAGGAAAAAUGU
RNAcentral lists this long non-coding RNA (381 nucleotides) under Junco hyemalis (dark-eyed junco). RNAcentral describes it as "lncRNA (ENSJHYG00000005028.1)". The record is from RNAcentral. Lineage: Eukaryota; Metazoa; Chordata; Aves; Passeriformes; Passerellidae.